Molecule: long non-coding RNA, 1736 nt
Organism: Hippoglossus stenolepis (Pacific halibut)
Lineage: Eukaryota; Metazoa; Chordata; Actinopteri; Pleuronectiformes; Pleuronectidae
Exons: 3
Source: RefSeq, a predicted model, not a curated record
ACUUUGAUCUGAGAAAACGCCGACUCAUGUCAUCACGCACCAUCACCAGACAGCUUUGAGAGAAAGAAGGGACGUUUGGAUGAAACAUCAGCCACUGAAAAUCCAUUUCAUCAUCCACACAUGUCUUAUAGAUACAGAUGACCUCCUUUCUGCAGGGAUGCACAUCUAUUCACAGUUUAUACACACAGUGCUGUACUUUAUAGUUCUUCUGUUUAAUUUAAUAGUCUGAGCAAAUUCUAAAUUGGCAAAUUGUAAGAUAUUAUACGAAAUAUGUGUAUGUCACAUGAUAUGUAUUAUAAAUAUAUUUCAAAAGUCAGAUGGUGCCACACCGGCCCCACGUGCCCUAUAUAGCUGGUGAUAGAUUCGAGAUCAGGGCCAAUAUUUUCCACAAAAUGACGGAGUGAGCGUGUGUGUGUGACCGGACACGUAGCCUUGGUUAUAUACUGUGUGUGUGCGUGUGAGCGGAUUGGUGUGCGUGCGCCGCGCAACGUAGCAGUCGGUGACCGUGAGUCGUUAACCGCGUCGAGCCGGUAGUGCGCACACGCCUCAUGGAAAGUAGAUGAGUCUGACCGGUGACUCGUGACUUCCUGCCCGUCACUUCAGGGCUGAGGCAUCACCGCGAGGAGGACGAGAGGGGAACACACGAAAGGAAGUGACUCGAAUACGUUGCAUUGUGGCGUUGAUGGUGAUGAUGAUGAUGAUGAUGAUUAAGAUUGGAGCCUUAAAAGUAAAAAAGUUCAAGUUCAAGACCCAUCGAUGGUGUGUGACACCUGCAGGUUCAUUCAUAUCUGUAAACAGUCUCAUGUUAAAUGUUUAAUAACCUGUGAAUUAAAAAGCUCCCCGAGUUCUAAUAUUUCUUAGUAGUAUCACCACAUAGUCUUGUCGCCCUCUGCUGGACAAACCAGCCCCUGCAGGGCUACAAAUGUGUCCUGCUCACUGACAGAUUGAUAGACAGCGAGGAAGCGGAAAGAGCUGAUAAGUAUGUAAUGACAUAAGUUGGCAGCUAUGUACCUCACAUACUCGGCUCGCUUGCGACAACUCAUACCUCGCUGUGCAUUCAAAUGGAAUGAGGGAGGGAAAGAAAAAGCCAAGGGAGACAAUGAGACUUUACAGUGGGGUGAAGUGAGGCGUGAUGGAGCAAGAAAGCAGAGAGGCGAGGUGAUGGAUAAGGAGAAAGAGCUUUUAGGAAGAGAGGGAUUGGGCCCUCGUGUAACUGGAGCGGUGCUGAGCGAGAGGAGUCCCCUAGACUCCGUACCUGUCCGCAGUUUAAUUGAAGAAUAACACUUGGGUUCAUUAGCGGGGUCACCGAGCUCCUCUUUCUGCUGACUCAGAGUGUGUGCAAGGUUACAGUGGAUACAGUGGGACAGUGUGUGUGUGUGUGUGUGUGUGUGUGUGUGUGUGUGUGUGUGUGUGUGUGUGUGCAUCCCAGUUUGUGCUGACUAAACACACACACAGAUAUGUAAACACUCACACUUUAAUGAAACGGUCCUUUCCUAAAAGUACAAUAAACAGCCUCCCCUGCAUCGACAUGCACGCUGACGCACGCUUGUAAAUGUCAUCACGGUGUGAGGAAAUCAGGGUGAUUCCUAUUUGAGCUGUGGGCACAGCAGCUACAGCUACUUAAUCUGUAUUUAAAAGAAAUACAACAAAGCCGAGGUCACGUUUUAAGUCUGUAUUUUUCGCCUUUUCCCGUAAGGCCAGUCUGAUUUCAUGGCACGAGUAGUUUUCCACACAGC